Molecule: ribosomal RNA, 253 nt
Filed under: uncultured bacterium
Lineage: Bacteria
Description: partial 16S ribosomal RNA
Rfam family: Bacterial small subunit ribosomal RNA
Source: RNAcentral
UACGUAGGGUCCGAGCGUUGUCCGGAGUUACUGGGCGUAAAGGGCGCGCAGGCGGCGGUGCUGGCCCGGCGUGAAAGCCCCCGGCUCAACCGGGGAGGGUCGUCGGGGACCGCACCGCUUGAGGGCGGUAGGGGCUGGUGGAAUGCCUGGUGUAGUGGUGAAAUGCGUAGAGAUCAGGCGGAACACCCGUGGCGCAAGCGGCCACCUAGCCCGUUGCUGACGCUGAGGCGCGACAGCGUGGGGAGCGAACUGG